RNAcentral lists this ribosomal RNA (234 nucleotides) under uncultured bacterium. RNAcentral's name for it is "partial 16S ribosomal RNA". It matches the Rfam family "Bacterial small subunit ribosomal RNA", at positions 32 to 250 of the family's 1533-position model. The record is from RNAcentral.
AAUCAACGCUGGCGGCGCGCCUAACACAUGCAAGUCGAACGAGAACGGAUUUCUCUUUUAGCAAUAAGAGCGGGGUCCUAGUAAAGUGGCGUACGGGUGAGUAACACGUGGGUAAUCUACCUUCAAGUGGGGGAGUAACCCGGGGAAACCCGUAGGGCGUAAUACCGCAUAAUAAUCCGCAAGGAUCAAAGGAGCAAUUCGCUGGAAGAUGAGCCCGCGGUCGAUUAGCUAGUU